This 878-nucleotide ribosomal RNA is filed under the name uncultured bacterium. RNAcentral describes it as "bacterial SSU rRNA". It matches the Rfam family "Bacterial small subunit ribosomal RNA", at positions 8 to 915 of the family's 1533-position model. The record is from RNAcentral.
AGAGUUUGAUCCUGGCUCAGGAUGAACGCUGGCGGCGUGCAUAACACAUGCAAGUCGAGCGAUCUUCUUCGGAAGAGAGCGGCGGACGGGUGAGUAACGCGUGGGUAACCUGCCCUGUACACACGGAUAACAUACCGAAAGGUAUGCUAAUACGAGAUAAUAUACUUUUAUCGCAUGGUAGAAGUAUCAAAGCUCUGGCGGUACAGGAUGGACCCGCGUCUGAUUAGCUAGUUGGUAAGGUAACGGCUUACCAAGGCGACGAUCAGUAGCCGACCUGAGAGGGUGAUCGGCCACAUUGGAACUGAGACACGGUCCAAACUCCUACGGGAGGCAGCAGUGGGGAAUAUUGCACAAUGGGCGAAAGCCUGAUGCAGCAACGCCGCGUGAGCGAUGAAGGCCUUCGGGUCGUAAAGCUCUGUCCUCAAGGAAGAUAAUGACGGUACUUGAGGAGGAAGCCCCGGCUAACUACGUGCCAGCAGCCGCGGUAAUACGUAGGGGGCUAGCGUUAUCCGGAAUUACUGGGCGUAAAGGGUGCGUAGGUGGUUUCUUAAGUCAGAGGUGAAAGGCUACGGCUCAACCGUAGUAAGCCUUUGAAACUGGGAAACUUGAGUGCAGGAGAGGAGAGUGGAAUUCCUAGUGUAGCGGUGAAAUGCGUAGAUAUUAGGAGGAACACCAGUUGCGAAGGCGGCUCUCUGGACUGUAACUGACACUGAGGCACGAAAGCGUGGGGAGCAAACAGGAUUAGAUACCCUGGUAGUCCACGCCGUAAACGAUGAGUACUAGCUGUCGGAGGUUACCCCCUUCGGUGGCGCAGCUAACGCAUUAAGUACUCCGCCUGGGAAGUACGCUCGCAAGAGUGAAACUCAAAGGAAUUGACG